RNAcentral lists this ribosomal RNA (253 nucleotides) under uncultured bacterium. RNAcentral describes it as "partial 16S ribosomal RNA". It matches the Rfam family "Bacterial small subunit ribosomal RNA", at positions 524 to 776 of the family's 1533-position model. The record is from RNAcentral.
UACGAAGGGUGCAAGCGUUACUCGGAAUUACGGGGCGUAAAGCGUGCGUAGGUGGUUCGUUAAGUCUGAGGUGAAAGCCCUGGGCUCAACCUGGGAAUGGCAUUGGAAACUGGCGACCUAGAGUGCGGUAGAGGGUAGUGGAAUUCCCGGUGUAGCAGUGAAAUGCGUAGAGAUCGGGAGGAACAUCCGUGGCGAAGGCGACUACCUGGACCAGUACUGACACUGAGGCACGAAAGCGUGGGGAGCAAACAGG